AUCAUCAUUUUUUUUAGGAAUAAAGGAUUGCUCUGUAUAGAAAAGCCUAUCAAUAAUCUGAUUUGACUAAAGACUUAAAACUUAGUGCUUUGUGGUAGACAACCUUGUUUCAGUUUUUGCUUUUACUUUCUUUUGCAUUAUGUUUAGGUUAAUCAAGGCUUGCUUCGUAUCUUUUGUAGAGAUUUGAAGGAAAUAUUGGCUA
Molecule: long non-coding RNA, 202 nt
Filed under: Elaeis guineensis (African oil palm)
Lineage: Eukaryota; Viridiplantae; Streptophyta; Magnoliopsida; Arecales; Arecaceae
Description: long non-coding RNA (EGUI_LNC053532)
Source: RNAcentral